CCCUUAGAUGUUCUGGGCUGCACACGUGCUACACUGGCAGGUUCAGCGAGCUUCAUGCCCUGAUCUGAAAGGAAUGGGAAAUCUUUUCAAAACCUGCCGUGCUUGGGAUAGAUGUUUGCAAUUAUUCAUCUUCAACGAGGAUUGCCUUGUAAGCGCACGUCACCAGCGUGCAUUGAAUACGACCCUGUAUUCUGUACACACCGCCCGUCGCUCCUACCGAUUGAAGUUUUCGGUGAGUUGACAGGAGGAUUUUUUUGAAACUGGUUCGCCAGUGGAUUUUAGAUCCAAAUGCCAACGAAUCGAGGGCUUUAGAGGAAGGAGAAGUCGUAACA
This 332-nucleotide ribosomal RNA is filed under the name uncultured eukaryote. RNAcentral describes it as "partial 18S ribosomal RNA". It matches the Rfam family "Eukaryotic small subunit ribosomal RNA", at positions 1470 to 1796 of the family's 1831-position model. The record is from RNAcentral.